CUAGGGGUGGCUCUGAAGCAAGAAGCAGAGAAAGGCAGUUAUUAAGGGCUGGGCAGCUGCCAAGUUUGCUGAAAGGGAGAAUGUGCCAAACUGGGGUUCUCAUAACAGUUGCCAUCAGCAGCAAUGAAGAAACAGGAGCAUGUGGCACCAGUUCCUCAUGGAGGAGAAAGAGCAGGAGAGAGCUGUGGCACCUGCAGCAACAAGACUCUCAAGGACCAGGCCUUUAACAAUGGUCAACCUCAGGGAGAAGAAAUGGCAUGUAAGAAUGAGACCUUUGGAGCCCUCCUUAUAGACAUGCAGAAAACCCAGAAACCCACCGAGAACUGGAGGGUGUUAUUGAUGUCUGAGAGGGAGAAAGAUAGGUAGCUCUCCAGAGACAGAACUAAAGUAGUCUGGGACAGCAUUGCCAUGACCAGAGACCGAGUGGACAAAGAUGGGGAUAUGCAGAAGCGAUUCUUAGAGGCAAUGAACAGGCAGACUGCUCGGCUGGAGCGCACACUGUUAUUAGGGCAACUUUAUUGUUUGAGGGCCUCACCCAGGACCCAGCCAUGUUCUGCAACCCCUGGAUAAUACAGGGUACUGGGAACACCAUCAGAUGUUCCUUGCUGUAGUCCUGCAGCCUUGUUCCGAGAAGCAAUUCCCUCCCCUGGCCCUGGCGCAGGGCAGCGAGAAUAACAGCAUACAGGAACUGUUCAAAGCAUUCAAUGCAUCUGGCAACUUUAAGCCCCGACAUUCAACCAAGGACUAAAAGAAGCAAAGGCAAGAUGUUCACCCACCUGUGAAGAGAAGCUGCCAUCCCACCCCCACCUCCUGUUAUGUGCUGCCCUCUCCAGCGCACUGUAUUUGAAUUUGACUUUGUUAGCUUUAGAGCUGUUUCAUGUUGCUUUAAUCAGUAUGAACAAAGUUUGUAAUUUAUUUUAAGUGUUUUAUUUUGGUAGUGGUUUCCUGGCAUAAUUUGUGCAUUUAAAAACUGUUUAAAGAGUCACAGAAUCUGCAAGUCUGUGUAUACUUUUUUUUUUUUUUUUUUACAAAAGCAUAAACGUGCACACAGACACAAUAAAGUAAAGGGUGCAACUUCUAGCACCCAUAAAAUCAA
Long non-coding RNA from Malaclemys terrapin pileata, 1096 nucleotides. RefSeq lists it as uncharacterized. The record is from RefSeq and is a predicted model, not a curated record. Lineage: Eukaryota; Metazoa; Chordata; Testudines; Emydidae. The transcript is spliced from 2 exons.